CAUAAAGCUGCGAGCAAAGCCCUUUCCGUCGCCGGGUUUCUGUGUCACGUGCGUGGGGGGGAACUGGUCAUGUGACUUCGGCUGGCCGUCGGGGGCAGCUGACGGCUUGAGGCGCGAGCGGGGCUGUGGGCGUUAGGGACCCCCGCGCGCGCCGGCAGGAUGCAGAACGUCAUCAACACGGUGAAGGGGAAGGCGCUGGAGGUGGCCGAGUACCUCACGCCCGUGCUCAAGGAGUCAAAGUUUAAAGAAACUGGAGUCAUCACUCCUGAAGAGUUUGUGGCAGCUGGAGACCAUUUAGUUCACCACUGUCCUACUUGGCAAUGGGCUUCAGGAGAAGAAUUAAAGGUCAAGGCUUAUCUGCCAACAGACAAACAGUUUUUGGUAACUAAAAAUGUGCCAUGCUACAAGCGGUGUAAACAGAUGGAGUAUUCAGAUGAACUGGAAGCAAUUAUAGAAGAAGAUGAUGGUGAUGGGGGAUGGGUAGACACAUUUCACAAUGCAGGUAUUGCAAGCGGGACAGAAGCAGUUAAGGAGAUCACACUGGAGAGCAAGGACAGUAUAAAACUACCAGGACAUCCAGUCUCUUUUGAAGAUGAUGAGGAAGAUGAAGGGGAAGCAGCUGACAUGGAAGAAUAUGAAGAGAGUGGGCUAUUGGAGACAGAUGACGCAACUCUUGAUACAAGAAAAAUAGCAGAAGCUAGCAAAGCUAAAGCUGAUGUCGGAGGGGAAGAUACCAUCCUGCAGACCAGAACUUAUGACCUCUAUAUCACUUAUGACAAAUACUACCAAACUCCCAGACUGUGGUUAUUUGGAUAUGAUGAGCAACGGCAGCCUUUAACAGUAGACUACAUGUAUGAAGAUAUUAGUCAAGAUCAUGUCAAAAAAACAGUAACAAUUGAAAAUCAUCCUCAUCUUCCUCCACCACCUAUGUGUUCAGUUCAUCCAUGCAGGCAUGCAGAAGUGAUGAAGAAAAUAAUUGAAACAGUUGCAGAAGGUGGGGGAGAACUUGGAGUUCAUAUGUAUCCUUUCCAUGGAAUGUCAGGAGACCUCUGAAGAGUAUGUUAUCUAAUAAAGGUCUAAUCCAUCCUAUGUCUAUUCCUAAAACUUUAUUUUGCAGUUCAAGAUGGACACAAACUGUAGAGUCUGCUUCAUAUCCGCUACCUGUGGAUGGGACAGAUUAUGUGGUGUAACAUAAGUCUAAAGCAAGUUAAACUGGAAGGUAACCCAUAGAAAGCAAUUCAAUGUAAACACAAAGUAUUUCAUGCAAAACUGGCUUAGUAUUAGCAGGGUAAAGUUUUUUAAAAUAAGUGAAUUUCUUAAACUUGAAAUAUUACCUGAUCAUUCAAA
This is an RNA transcript of Dermochelys coriacea (leatherback sea turtle), 1347 nucleotides long. It is a transcript of the gene named autophagy related 3, with no coding region annotated. The transcript has 12 exons. NCBI's taxonomy places the organism in Eukaryota, Metazoa, Chordata, Testudines, Dermochelyidae. The record is from RefSeq and is a predicted model, not a curated record.